AGAAGGUAAGGCUGGCAGUUGAUGCCAUAUUGAUGGCUGAAGGUGAAGAACGGAAGGAACAGCUGGCAGCUUGGACAGCUGAUAAGAAGCAAAUUAGUGCGUAUGCAAUGAAUCUACAACAGAUUGACAAUGGUGUUACUGUUCCUCCAUCUGGGUGGAAAUGUGCAAAGUGUGAGAAAAAAGAGAAUUUGUGGUUGAAUCUUACCGAUGGAAUGAUCCUUUGUGGACGGCAAUGGCAUGGUUAUUGGCAAUAACCAUGCCAUUGAACACUACAACGAGACAAGAUAUCCUCUUGCUGUAAAACUUGGG
RNAcentral lists this unclassified non-coding RNA (309 nucleotides) under Hevea brasiliensis (rubber tree). The record is from RNAcentral. Lineage: Eukaryota; Viridiplantae; Streptophyta; Magnoliopsida; Malpighiales; Euphorbiaceae.